UUACUUGGCAUCUGAUGGUUUAUUCUUUAUUUAUUUGGCAUCUGACUGCUUCCUUGUUUACUUGGUGCUUUAUGUUUUAUUUACUUGGCAUCCAACAACUCUAUUCUUCAUUGACAUAUUGCAUAAGCUGACACAUGAAUGUUAUUUGUCUUUUCUACCACAAAACUCAUACCUUGGAAAUAGCAAUCAAGGUACUAAUUACUAAAGUACCAAGUAGAAAGGUAGUCCACUUUUCUUCUGCAAUCAAAUUCUUAUUACGAAAGAUGAACCACAUCCACGAGUCAUUUCAAAUUUGCCUCAACUUCACAACUUCAAGUUGUAUGAUAGAAUUUUAUCUUGAGCUUCUCAUAAAUAUAGUCCAUCGUUUAAUAUGAUCAGAUAGUUUGACUUGGGACUCAAGUUUUGUAUCGUGAAUUUCACUUAACGUCCUUCACAUUCUCUUAUCCUUUUCUUAUUCAUUGAUACUAAAUCUUUUAAUCAAGAAUCUAUGGUGGUAAAGUCUGAUUUUUCUCGCAAGGAAGUGGCAGAUCAAUUUCAUCAUCAACAUCAUUGUCAAGCGAAUGAAGUUGUUCUUGGGAUGAUUUGGCAGACGACUCUAAAAUCAAAGUUCUCUUAAUAGGCACCUUUAGCCACUUUUUAUGUUUUGGCUUCUGGAGAGCUAGGUCCUCUCUGUCUACACCACCCACUUUCCACGCAGCUUAUGUUUUCCUUUUGAGCGGGGGCAAUGAUGGAGAUUCUUGGGUUUAUGAACCCUCUCCUUCUUUUGGCGCUUGUAUUUUUAAUCUUUGCGCUUCCUUCUUGUUUUGAUGAACAGUUAGAAUACGAUUCAGACCUGCGAGGUUGUAAUUUCCUGCUGCCAUGUUAGUUUGUGGGAAUCUAGCUAGGGUUGGUAGAUACUUUAGACACAACUUCUCCAAGGUAGAUAGGAAUGGUGUUGCUCCCUUUGAGUUUCUUCGCCAACCAAGAAUUGCUCUAUUGAUAAUUUCUUCCAGAUUAAA
Molecule: long non-coding RNA, 998 nt
Organism: Cucumis sativus (cucumber)
Lineage: Eukaryota; Viridiplantae; Streptophyta; Magnoliopsida; Cucurbitales; Cucurbitaceae
Exons: 2
Source: RefSeq, a predicted model, not a curated record